Molecule: ribosomal RNA, 793 nt
Filed under: uncultured archaeon
Lineage: Archaea
Description: bacterial SSU rRNA
Rfam family: Archaeal small subunit ribosomal RNA
Source: RNAcentral
ACUGCUCAGUAACACGUGGACAACCUGCCCUUAGGUUGGGUAUAAACCCGGGAAACUGGGUAUAAUACCCGAUAGGUCUCGAUUGCUGGAAUGCAUCGAGAUUUAAAGCUCCGGCGCCUAAGGAUGGGUCUGCGGCCUAUCAGGUAGCAGUGGGUGUAGCGUACCUACUAGCCUACGACGGGUACGGGUUGUGAGAGCAAGAGCCCGGAGAUGGAUUCUGAGACACGAAUCCAGGCCCUACGGGGUGCAGCAGGCGCGAAAACUUUACAAUGCUGGCAACAGCGAUAAGGGAACCUCGAGUGCCAGGUUACAAAUCUGGCUGUCGAGAUGCCUAAAAAGCAUUUCAUAGCAAGGGCCGGGCAAGACCGGUGCCAGCCGCCGCGGUAACACCGGCGGCUCGAGUGGUAACCGUUAUUAUUGGGUCUAAAGGGUCUGUAGCCGGCCGGAUAAGUCUCUUGAGAAAUCUGGCAGCUUAACUGUCAGGCUUUCAGGAGAUACUGUCUGGCUCGAGGCCGGGAGAGGUGUGAGGUACUUCAGGGGUAGGGGUGAAAUCUUGUAAUCCUUGAAGGACCACCAGUGGCGAAGGCGUCUCACCAGAACGGACCUGACGGCAAGGGACGAAAGCUAGGGGCACGAACCGGAUUAGAUACCCGGGUAGUCCUAGCCGUAAACGAUACUCGCUAGGUGUCGGCCACGGUGCGACCGUUGUCGGUGCCGUAGGGAAGCCGUGAAGCGAGCCACCUGGGAAGUACGGCCGCAAGGCUGAAACUUAAAGGAAUUGGCGGGGGAGCAC